Molecule: small RNA, 127 nt
Filed under: Marmota monax (woodchuck)
Lineage: Eukaryota; Metazoa; Chordata; Mammalia; Rodentia; Sciuridae
Source: RNAcentral
GCCAGGUACAGUGGUGUACACCUGUAAUUCUAGCGGCUCAGGAGGCUGAGGCAGGAGGAUCAUGGGUUCAAAGCCAGCCUCGGCAUCUUAACAAGGCCCUAAGCAACUCAGUGAGACCCUGUCUCUA